RNAcentral lists this ribosomal RNA (465 nucleotides) under Vreelandella stevensii. RNAcentral describes it as "partial 16S ribosomal RNA". It matches the Rfam family "Bacterial small subunit ribosomal RNA", at positions 338 to 795 of the family's 1533-position model. The record is from RNAcentral. Lineage: Bacteria; Pseudomonadati; Pseudomonadota; Gammaproteobacteria; Oceanospirillales; Halomonadaceae.
CCUACGGGUGGCUGCAGUGGGGAAUAUUGGACAAUGGGGGCAACCCUGAUCCAGCCAUGCCGCGUGUGUGAAGAAGGCCCUCGGGUUGUAAAGCACUUUCAGUGAGGAAGAACGCCUGGUGGUUAAUACCCAUCAGGAAAGACAUCACUCACAGAAGAAGCACCGGCUAACUCCGUGCCAGCAGCCGCGGUAAUACGGAGGGUGCGAGCGUUAAUCGGAAUUACUGGGCGUAAAGCGCGCGUAGGUGGCUUGAUAAGCCGGUUGUGAAAGCCCCGGGCUCAACCUGGGAACGGCAUCCGGAACUGUCAAGCUAGAGUGCAGGAGAGGAAGGUAGAAUUCCCGGUGUAGCGGUGAAAUGCGUAGAGAUCGGGAGGAAUACCAGUGGCGAAGGCGGCCUUCUGGACUGACACUGACACUGAGGUGCGAAAGCGUGGGUAGCAAACAGGAUUAGAUACCCCAGUAGUA